UCUCAUAACAAUCAUUCAAGCCUUAAAAUAACAAUAGAGAGAGUAAAUGAAAAACUCCCUAAAAAAUUAAAAACAAGUACUUCAAUAAAUCUUACGACAUAGAACUAUCCAUUCCUUCAGUUGUCAAUAACAGAUCAAAUACGCCAAAUUUUGACAAAAAAAACAACUUAGAGCAAAAUAGAUGACAUAGAUUGUCAUGAACAGAAUCACUUAUACCCAUCUAGUAAGAAAGAGAAAAGACAGAUCCUGGCCACAUUCAAGCUGCACCUUUGACCCAUCCAGCAAGAAAGAAAAAAGACGGAUAUCAUGGACAUUCACUCGUCAACAAUCUUGAAAAAAAAAAGAAAAGAAAAAAACAAAAAAAAGACUACAUUUUCGUUCCCUUCACAAUAAAAAAAAAAUCAAAAUCAGAUCGUGGCAAUCUUUAAUGUCCAACGAUGCAAUAAUUAGAAAGAAUCCAUUCACACAAUUAAAAAAUUGCAUGUUUAUUUCAUCUGCAAGAGAUUGAAAAGCAAGACUGCUUAGGCAUCCCUUCAAAUAUCCAAAGAAAGAUCGACAAUUUCAUCUAAAAAUCCACAUUUUCAUAAGAAAACAAUCUCAUAGACAUCCAUUCAUAAAAUAUCUGGAAAAAAAAAUGUCCGAAAAAAGCAAGACCUCUUAGGCAUCUAUUCAUCAUUAAGAAGGUGUUCUCAUAGACAGCAGUAAAAAAACCCAAUUCAGAUGGGCCAGGAGGAGAGUACAGUCUGCAUGGUUAGUAAAUUUCCUUUAGAACCCUAAAAUGUUAAUAAUUAUAAAAAAAACAGCAUUUCAUUCACAAAUUAUUCUUGAAAUUUAAUAUGUUGGUACUCACAAGGAAAACAAAAAUAUGUGAAGAAAAUGCAUUAAUUUUUACUAACAGUCCCCUGUCCUUACAAUCCUAGAAGUUCAAGAUUCAUUCAUUGCAUUAAAACUCUAAUAACUCUCAAAGUGCUAUUCUAUAUUCAGAACUCAACAAAAAAAAUUAAAGCAAAAAGAAAACAAAAGAGAUAGCGACAAUGAAAAGAAAAUAAGAAUAUGCAAUAUACAUCAUUAAUGUGAUCUUUAAAACCCUACAAGAUCUAGAACACUAAAAAACCAAUGAUUCUAAUCAUUUUGAACAUUUUAGUUUUAUUGUCCAUGAAAUAAGCCCUAAAAUGCUCAAUAAAAGAAAACCAGGAAAGUAUUUUACCAUAUUGCUAAACAUAACUUGAAAAUCGCAUAUUUUCUCCAUUAAUGAUUUAAUCUUUGAAGCCUUGCAAGAUAAAGCACAUCCAAAACUAAUGAUUCUAAUAAUUUUCAAUGUUUUAUUGUCCACAAAAGAACCCCUAAAAUAUCCAAUAAUGAACUUUCUGGUUUUAGGAGAAAUGUUUAGGAGAAAAAGAAAGGUACAUGAUGAAGAGGGGUGAGAGGGAGAGGGAGAGGGAGAGGGAGAGGGAGAAAGAGGGGUUAGAGACAGAGGGAGAGAGAGGAAUAGGGGUUAGAGAGAGAGAAGGACCUAUGCGGAGGAGCAGUUGCAGAGGAGGCAGAGGCAUGGAAUGUAUUGGUGUGAGGGUGCUAAAGAAGCGAGAGGGUGAGGUCGGGGAUGAAGUUCCCUUUUUAAGUUCCGUGGUUUUCCACCGAACUUUUUUAAAGCGUAAAAGUACGAUGAGUUACGGUACAUAGGACUUCUUUAAAUAUCUUACAAUCUUUUAACAAACAGAAAUAGUAACA
RNAcentral lists this long non-coding RNA (1728 nucleotides) under Amborella trichopoda. Its description in RNAcentral is "long non-coding RNA (ATRI_LNC003024)". Lineage: Eukaryota; Viridiplantae; Streptophyta; Magnoliopsida; Amborellales; Amborellaceae. The record is from RNAcentral.